This 2280-nucleotide long non-coding RNA is filed under the name Bemisia tabaci. RNAcentral's name for it is "lncRNA ENSSSA1UGG011805". The record is from RNAcentral. Lineage: Eukaryota; Metazoa; Arthropoda; Insecta; Hemiptera; Aleyrodidae.
AUUAAGACGUAUUGUGAUGUUUUAGCCAUUUCAGUGAUUUCAUCAAAAAGAUAUUUCAUGAAUUUUGAAAGAAACUCGAUUUAAAAAAUUUGAGAGUUACGGCUCUCUUCGCUAUCAUGGCAGUAUAAGUGCUCUACACUGCCCGUCCUAAGGAAAAACGCCAUAUGAGCGUCCAGGCGUUGCCAAAUUUCCUUUGACAAAUCACGAAUUUUUGGGAAUAUUUAUUAUUUUCUUCUAAAAAUAAUUUUUUUUCCGAGAGAAAAUUUGGCAGCACUCGAAUACUCAUACGGCGUUUUCCCUUAGCACGGCAGUGAAUAACUCUAUACAAUUUCACAUUUCUCUCAUGUUACGCGUCCAACUAUCAUAUUCCUUACCUUGAGGGUUGGCAUGGUUAUAAUUGACAUCAUUCUGCUGAUAAUUGGGCAAAUGAUGAUUAUUUUGAUAAUUUUGGUUUUGAUAAGCGGCGUCCUGGCCGGGGCCGGUGGGGAGCAUCUGGUGGACGCCAAGCGGUGGGAGACUGUUGAGAUUCACGGCGUUGCCCUUUUGGAUGGCCGCUUGAUAGAGGGCCAUGAGCUCGUCCUUGCUCAGGGGUGGGAUCCAUGAGUCUUGAUGACCCUGCUGGCCCUGGAACCCGGGGGCCCCGCUUGGAUGUGGAUCCGCGGGCCCAUAACCUGGGGCAGUUUGACCCGCGUUCGAGGGACCCGAAGGGGCGGUGGGCCCGGUGGGUCCGGGGAAGGGGCCGGGCCCGGAGGCGCCCAGCUUGGUCUCGACGCGGUCGAGGAUUAAAUCUAAGACUUUGGUAUUUGUGGGAGAUUCCCCGUGCAUCUUCCCGAUGACCGAGUAGAGGAACUUGGCCCCCGCCUCCGUCCCGUUCUCCGACUCCUCCGAGUAGACGCUCUUCAUCAGUGAUAGGAAUACUAUCAGGAACCAGAUUACGCGUAGAUGCCUACUGUCCAACAUCCUGCAACAGAUACACAGAAUGUAGAUCAAGAUCUCAGUCAUACCACAAAAUAAAGAGUGAAGUGGGCCUUUAGACGUAGUGUAAACGGAGCUAUUAAAGUUCGGAAUGUGCAAGGCAGGAAAGCUAUCGCGAUGCUAAAUGGGGUUCUCUGGGACCAGAGUAUCUCCAAGGAGACUAAAAGGAAAAUUUACAACGUCAUCGUGAAGAGUAUCAUAACUUACGGGAGUGAGGUCUGGCAAUUGAAGAAAAGGACUGAAGACAUGCUUAGGGCAACCGAGAUGGACUUUUGGUGAAGAUCUGCUGGCAUCUCAAGAAGAGAGCGUAUCCGCAAUGUAAAAGUACGCGAAAUAAUGGGUGUGGAGAAUGACAUCGUGCACGAUAUCAGGUCCAAACAGUUGGUCUGGUAUGGACAUGUGCGAAGGAUGGCAGACGAUCGGUUGCCCAAGCAGGUCUUCGAUUGGGUUCCUCCCGGAAGGCGACGGCGUAGACGUCCUGUGAAAGGUUGGUGACAAGGGGUGGAGGAGGAGAUCAGAAGGUGCCAAUUGCCUGAUGAUCUCUGGGAGGAUAGGGGGCAAUGGCGAUUGGGCGUCGCAGAGCGCGAGGCUGCGCUGUAAAAGCGGCUUUAUGUAUGUGUAUGUAUGUAUGUAAAUGGUAAUGUUGCAUGUGUGAGGAAUUUGCGAUUUGACUGAUGAUUCAAAUGUAAAAGUUCGUGAGAAACACGAUGGUGCCACUGGUUUUCUCUGAAAUCAACUCCCAAGCUCAAAAAAAGCUCUCAAGUUGAGGAAAAAAUGGAGGGGAUAUCCCACCCUACCCGGAGAGUCCACGUCCACAUCAAGACAAACUCUCCAUGCAAAGAUAGGGAGCAAAUACAUUAGCAGUGAUGCUGUGUUUUCAAUUUUUGAGUCCCCAAAUAAAGUGGUAGCCCUGUCAAUGUAUUUUCUCCCUAUCUUUGCAUGGAGAGUUUGUCUUGAUGUAGACGUGGACUCUCAGGGUAGGGUGGGAUACCCCCUCCAUUUUGGCCUCAACUUGAGAGCUUUUUUUGAGCUUGGGAGUUGAUUUCAGAGAAAACCAGUGGCACCAUCGUGUUUCUCACGAACUUUUACAAAAGAAUCAACAGUCAAAUCGCAAAUUCUUUACACAUGCAACAUCUCCCUUAGGAAUCACCGUUCCAUGUAAUCUCCUCAAAAUCUUACGUAGAAAUACCUGUUCACACCCCUUCGUAUCAAUGUUCAGGGCGAUCCAAGGUUUACACCGUCAGCGGGUUAGUUGUUAAAAUUGAUAGACAAAGUGAUAGACAAAGAAGACAUAAGGAGUAUGCA